CCUACGGGGGGCUGCAGUGGGGAAUAUUGGACAAUGGGGGGAACCCUGAUCCAGCCAUGCCGCGUGUGUGAAGAAGGCCCUCGGGUUGUAAAGCACUUUCAGUGAGGAAGAACGCCUGGUGGUUAAUACCCAUCAGGAAAGACAUCACUCACAGAAGAAGCACCGGCUAACUCCGUGCCAGCAGCCGCGGUAAUACGGAGGGGUGCGAGCGUUAAUCGGAAUUACUGGGCGUAAAGCGCGCGUAGGUGGCUUGAUAAGCCGGUUGUGAAAGCCCCGGGCUCAACCUGGGAACGGCAUCCGGAACUGUCAAGCUAGAGUGCAGGAGAGGAAGGUAGAAUUCCCGGUGUAGCGGUGAAAUGCGUAGAGAUCGGGAGGAAUACCAGUGGCGAAGGCGGCCUUCUGGACUGACACUGACACUGAGGUGCGAAAGCGUGGGUAGCAAACAGGAUUAGAUACCCGAGUAGUC
This 466-nucleotide ribosomal RNA is filed under the name Vreelandella stevensii. Its description in RNAcentral is "partial 16S ribosomal RNA". It matches the Rfam family "Bacterial small subunit ribosomal RNA", at positions 338 to 795 of the family's 1533-position model. The record is from RNAcentral. Lineage: Bacteria; Pseudomonadati; Pseudomonadota; Gammaproteobacteria; Oceanospirillales; Halomonadaceae.